This 395-nucleotide ribosomal RNA is filed under the name uncultured bacterium. RNAcentral describes it as "bacterial SSU rRNA". It matches the Rfam family "Bacterial small subunit ribosomal RNA", at positions 505 to 898 of the family's 1533-position model. The record is from RNAcentral.
GUGUCAGCAGCCGCGGUAAAACGUAGGUACCGAGCGUUAUCCGGAUUUACUGGGCGUAAAGCGCGUUCAGGCGGUCUGACAAGUCGGGCAUGAAAUCCUUCGGCUCAACCGGGGGAGGUUGUCCGAUACUGCCGGACUGGAGGGCAGUAGAGGGUGGUGGAAUUCCGGGUGUAGUGGUGAAAUGCGUAGAGAUCCGGAGGAACACCAGUGGCGAAAGCGGCCACCUGGACUGUACCUGACGCUGAAACGCGAAAGCUAGGGGAGCGAACGGGAUUAGAAACCCCGGUAGUCCUAGCUAUAAACGAUGUCGACUAGGUGUUGGCGGUCUAAACCCCGCCAGUGCCGCAGCCAACGCAAUAAGUCGACCGCCUGGGGACUACGGCCGCAAGGUUAAA